GCUAUACAUGCAGUAGAACGCUGAAAGAGAGGAGCUUGCUCUUCUUGGAUGAGUUGCGAACGGGUGAGUAACGCGUAGGUAACCUGCCUUGUAGCGGGGGAUAACUAUUGGAAACGAUAGCUAAUACCGCAUAACAAUGGAUGACACAUGUCAUUUAUUUGAAAGGGGCAAUUGCUCCACUACAAGAUGGACCUGCGUUGUAUUAGCUAGUAGGUGAGGUAACGGCUCACCUAGGCGACGAUACAUAGCCGACCUGAGAGGGUGAUCGGCCACACUGGGACUGAGACACGGCCCAGACUCCUACGGGAGGCAGCAGUAGGGAAUCUUCGGCAAUGGGGGCAACCCUGACCGAGCAACGCCGCGUGAGUGAAGAAGGUUUUCGGAUCGUAAAGCUCUGUUGUAAGUCAAGAACGAGUGUGAGAGUGGAAAGUUCACACUGUGACGGUAGCUUACCAGAAAGGGACGGCUAACUACGUGCCAGCAGCCGCGGUAAUACGUAGGUCCCGAGCGUUGUCCGGAUUUAUUGGGCGUAAAGCGAGCGCAGGCGGUUUGAUAAGUCUGAAGUUAAAGGCUGUGGCUCAACCAUAGUUCGCUUUGGAAACUGUCAAACUUGAGUGCAGAAGGGGAGAGUGGAAUUCCAUGUGUAGCGGUGAAAUGCGUAGAUAUAUGGAGGAACACCGGUGGCGAAAGCGGCUCUCUGGUCUGUAACUGACGCUGAGGCUCGAAAGCGUGGGGAGCGAACAGGAUUAGAUACCCUGGUAGUCCACGCCGUAAACGAUGAGUGCUAGGUGUUGGAUCCUUUCCGGGAUUCAGUGCCGCAGCUAACGCAUUAAGCACUCCGCCUGGGGGAGUACGACCGCAAGGUUGAAACUCAAAGGAAUUGACGGGGGCCCGCACAAGCGGUGGAGCAUGUGGUUUAAUUCGAAGCAACGCGAAGAACCUUACCAGGUCUUGACAUCCCGAUGCUAUUUCU
RNAcentral lists this ribosomal RNA (973 nucleotides) under Streptococcus salivarius. RNAcentral describes it as "bacterial SSU rRNA". It matches the Rfam family "Bacterial small subunit ribosomal RNA", at positions 48 to 1002 of the family's 1533-position model. Lineage: Bacteria; Bacillati; Bacillota; Bacilli; Lactobacillales; Streptococcaceae. The record is from RNAcentral.